UUAAUAUUAGUUAUGAAAUAUAUUUCAAGAAAUUUUAUAUCUAGUUUUUUAAGAGUAAAAGUUUAAUAAAAUAAUUUUUAUAAAAAUUAAUAUGGUUUAGCUUAUUAAUUUUAUAUACUGAUAGAAUUUUUUAACCUUAGUAAAUUUGAUAGUGUUUAUUUUAUAAAUUUAUAAUGGAGGGUAAUAUGAAUAGAAAUUUUUAUUUGUUAUUUUUUUUAUUAAAAAGUUUAUUUAAAUUUUAGAGUUUUAUUUAUAAUGAAAAAAUUAGUAAAAAUUUAUUUAUAUUAAAAAAUAAUUAAUAAUUUAUAAUUGUUAUAAUUAUUAUAAAAAAUGAAUUCGGCAAAAAGUAUUAUUUGACUGUUUAGCAAAAACAUUGUUUCAUGAAGAAUAUAUGAAAUAAUGUCUGUCCACUGAUAUAUUUGAAGGACUGCAGUAUAUUGACUGUAUAAAAGUAGCAUAAUCAUUAGCUUUUUAAUUUGGGGUUGGUAUGAAGGCGAAACGGAUAAGUUCUUUAUUUUUUAUAAGUGUUUUAAGUUUAUUUUUAAGUGAAAAAUCUUAAUUGGAUGAGAGGGACAAGAAGACCCUAAUAAGUUUUAUUUUUCUUUUAUUUAUGUUAUAGGAAAAUUUAAUUAGAUAAUAUUAAAUUAGAAAUUUGGUUGGGGCGAUUAGUUAUAAAACAUAAUUUAUUUAUAAUUUU
Molecule: ribosomal RNA, 697 nt
Filed under: Pseudopolydesmus canadensis
Lineage: Eukaryota; Metazoa; Arthropoda; Diplopoda; Polydesmida; Polydesmidae
Description: partial large subunit ribosomal RNA
Source: RNAcentral